UAGGGAAUUUUCGUCAAUGGGCGCAAGCCUGAACGAGCAAAUGCCGCGUGAACGAGGAAGGUCUUCGGAUCGUAAAGUUCUGUUGAAGGGGAAAAAGAGCGGAGAGAGGAAAUGGUCUCCGAUUGAUAUUACCCUUCGAGGAAGUCACGGCUAACUACGUGCC
This 163-nucleotide ribosomal RNA is filed under the name uncultured bacterium. Its description in RNAcentral is "partial 16S ribosomal RNA". It matches the Rfam family "Bacterial small subunit ribosomal RNA", at positions 355 to 509 of the family's 1533-position model. The record is from RNAcentral.